CCCGCACAAGCGGUGAGCAUGUGGUUAAUUCGAAGCAACGCAAGAACCUUACCAGGUCUUGACAUCCCGAUGCUAUUCUAGGGAUAGAAAGUUACUUCGGUACAUCGGUGACAGGUGGUGCAUGGUUGUCGUCAGCUCGUGUCGUGAGAUGUUGGGUUAAGUCCCGCAACGAGCGCAACCCCUAUUGUUAGUUGCCAUCAUUCAGUUGGGCACUCUAGCGAGACUGCCGGUAAUAAACCGGAGGAAGGUGGGGAUGACGUCAAAUCAUCAUGCCCCUUAUGACCUGGGCUACACACGUGCUACAAUGGUUGGUACAACGAGUUGCGAGUCGGUGACGGCGAGCUAAUCUCUUAAAGCCAAUCUCAGUUCGGAUUGUAGGCUGCAACUCGCCUACAUGAAGUCGGAAUCGCUAGUAAUCGCGGAUCAGCACGCCGCGGUGAAUACGUUCCCGGGCCCU
Molecule: ribosomal RNA, 457 nt
Filed under: uncultured Streptococcus sp.
Lineage: Bacteria; Bacillati; Bacillota; Bacilli; Lactobacillales; Streptococcaceae
Description: bacterial SSU rRNA
Rfam family: Bacterial small subunit ribosomal RNA
Source: RNAcentral